RNAcentral lists this ribosomal RNA (521 nucleotides) under uncultured Glomeraceae. RNAcentral describes it as "SSU rRNA". It matches the Rfam family "Eukaryotic small subunit ribosomal RNA", at positions 569 to 1092 of the family's 1831-position model. The record is from RNAcentral. Lineage: Eukaryota; Fungi; Glomeromycota; Glomeromycetes; Glomerales; Glomeraceae.
AGCAGCCGCGGUAAUUCCAGCUCCAAUAGCGUAUAUUAAAGUUGCUGCAGUUAAAAAGCUCGUAGUUGAAUUUCGGGACUGAUAUGUCGGUCGUGCCUCGGUACGUACUGGUAUUUUUGGUUUCUCCCUUCUGACGAACCUUGAUGUCAUUAAUUUGGUGUCUUGGGAAAUCAGGACUGUUACUUUGAAAAAAUUAGAGUGUUUAAAGCAGGCUCACGCUUGAAUACAUUAGCAUGGAAUAAUGAAAUAGGACGUUUGAUUCUAUUUUGUUGGUUUCUAGGAUCGACGUAAUGAUUAAUAGGGAUAGUUGGGGGCAUUAGUAUUCAAUUGUCAGAGGUGAAAUUCUUGGAUUUAUUGAAGACUAACUACUGCGAAAGCAUUUGCCAAGGAUGUUUUCAUUAAUCAAGAACGAAAGUUAGGGGAUCGAAGACGAUCAGAUACCGUCGUAGUCUUAACCAUAAACUAUGCCGACUAGGGAUCGGAUGAUGUUAAUUUUUUAAUGACUCAUUCGGCGCCUUACG